AACCCCCACACCUCCUGCCCAACUCACGAGGCUAUCGUGAGAUCACAGGGACACUCUGUGAGAUCUACAGGACACCGUGGUGACCAGAGGCAUUAUGUGGCAGGGAGGGUGUUUCCAGAAAGUGAGAUUUUUUUCAAUAUGCAAUUUAUUAAAAGUAUUUAAAAUGAACAUCCGACAGGAGGACACUUUUAUGUGAAAUUUUAUUUCUGUUUGCCUUGUGUGGUGAGUUGCUGGAGAAGACAGAAGGCAUGCUAGAAUUAGUCAAACCCUUAGAAGAUGGAUCUAAAUCAAGACACAAGUAAGGCAUGAUGUGAAGUCCAUCACAAACAGAGCUGGAUGGAGGACCUUAUCUAGCCUUUUGGCGUAUUUUACAAGCUAUUAACCCAAUGAAUACAUUGGGACAUUACUCAAUGUCUAACUUAAGACACAAAAAAUAAACGUGAAAUCAAAUUGCACUGGUAGAAAACAUGAA
Molecule: long non-coding RNA, 472 nt
Organism: Neofelis nebulosa (Clouded leopard)
Lineage: Eukaryota; Metazoa; Chordata; Mammalia; Carnivora; Felidae
Exons: 2
Source: RefSeq, a predicted model, not a curated record